GUCAGAAUGGCCGAGCGGUCUAAGGCGCCAGACGGAAGGUUGUGCACCUUCUCCAAAACAGAGAGAUUUCUGGUCUCCGAAUGGAGGCGUUGGUUCAAAUCCCACUUCUGACA
Astyanax mexicanus (Mexican tetra) is the source of this 113-nucleotide non-coding RNA. NCBI's taxonomy places the organism in Eukaryota, Metazoa, Chordata, Actinopteri, Characiformes, Acestrorhamphidae. The record is from Rfam.